Molecule: ribosomal RNA, 481 nt
Filed under: uncultured bacterium
Lineage: Bacteria
Description: bacterial SSU rRNA
Rfam family: Bacterial small subunit ribosomal RNA
Source: RNAcentral
GGCCCGACAGAGUUUGAUCAUGGCUCAGAGCGAACGCUGGCGGCAGGCUUAACACAUGCAAGUCGAGCGGGCGUAGCAAUACGUCAGCGGCAGACGGGUGAGUAACGCGUGGGAACGUACCUUUUGGUUCGGAACAACACAGGGAAACUUGUGCUAAUACCGGAUAAGCCCUUACGGGGAAAGAUUUAUCGCCGAAAGAUCGGCCCGCGUCUGAUUAGCUAGUUGGUGAGGUAAUGGCUCACCAAGGCGACGAUCAGUAGCUGGUCUGAGAGGAUGAUCAGCCACAUUGGGACUGAGACACGGCCCAAACUCCUACGGGAGGCAGCAGUGGGGAAUAUUGGACAAUGGGCGCAAGCCUGAUCCAGCCAUGCCGCGUGAGUGAUGAAGGCCCUAGGGUUGUAAAGCUCUUUCAACGGUGAAGAUAAUGACGGUAACCGUAGAAGAAGCCCCGGCUAACUUCGUGCCAGCAGCCGCGGUAAUA